Molecule: ribosomal RNA, 512 nt
Filed under: Lelliottia amnigena
Lineage: Bacteria; Pseudomonadati; Pseudomonadota; Gammaproteobacteria; Enterobacterales; Enterobacteriaceae
Description: bacterial SSU rRNA
Rfam family: Bacterial small subunit ribosomal RNA
Source: RNAcentral
UGGCUCAGAUUGAACGCUGGCGGCAGGCCUAACACAUGCAAGUCGAGCGGUAGCACAGGAGAGCUUGCUCUUUGGGUGACGAGCGGCGGACGGGUGAGUAAUGUCUGGGAAACUGCCUGAUGGAGGGGGAUAACUACUGGAAACGGUAGCUAAUACCGCAUAACGUCGCAAGACCAAAGAGGGGGACCUUCGGGCCUCUUGCCAUCAGAUGUGCCCAGAUGGGAUUAGCUAGUAGGUGGGGUAAUGGCUCACCUAGGCGACGAUCCCUAGCUGGUCUGAGAGGAUGACCAGCCACACUGGAACUGAGACACGGUCCAGACUCCUACGGGAGGCAGCAGUGGGGAAUAUUGCACAAUGGGCGCAAGCCUGAUGCAGCCAUGCCGCGUGUAUGAAGAAGGCCUUCGGGUUGUAAAGUACUUUCAGCGAGGAGGAAGGCAUUGUGGUUAAUAACCGCAGUGAUUGACGUUACUCGCAAAAAAAGCACCGGCUAACUCCGUGCCAGCAGCCGCGGU